RNAcentral lists this ribosomal RNA (253 nucleotides) under uncultured bacterium. RNAcentral describes it as "partial 16S ribosomal RNA". It matches the Rfam family "Bacterial small subunit ribosomal RNA", at positions 524 to 776 of the family's 1533-position model. The record is from RNAcentral.
UACGAAGGGGGCUAGCGUUGUUCGGAAUUAUUGGGCGUAAAGGGCGUGUAGGCGGUCUGCUAAGUCAUGUGUGAAAUCCCUCGGCUUAACCGAGGAACGACGCAUGAAACUGGCAAGCUAGAGUACCAAAGAGGGGGGUGGAAUUCCCGGUGUAGCGGUGAAAUGCGUAGAUAUCUGGAGGAACACCGGUGGCGAAGGCGGCAUCCUGGACCGGCAUUGACGCUGAGGCGCGAAAGCCAGGGGAGCAAACGGG